This 1453-nucleotide long non-coding RNA is filed under the name Lathyrus oleraceus (garden pea). RNAcentral's name for it is "Pisum sativum (pea) long non-coding RNA (PSAT_LNC032834)". The record is from RNAcentral. Lineage: Eukaryota; Viridiplantae; Streptophyta; Magnoliopsida; Fabales; Fabaceae.
UACAAUAUAGAUAAAUUAAAAACAUAUUUUAAUGAGUCCAAAAUUACAAUCAAUAUUUCAAAAUUCAACAAAGUAACAUCAUGUGAACCUUGCUUAGACUUUAUUCACGUCCAAAACUACAAUCAAUCAUGAUUUUUAUCUGUAUUUUUGGAAGAAAAAAAUUCCUAAAUCUUCAAUUAAACAAACACAAAGCAAACUUCAUAACUCAUAUCAUAAGCGAUUGUGUUUAUAAAUGGAGAGAAGAAGUUUCAAACUAAGAAUCACUGGCCAGGUGACUAAUUGUGUACUUCAAGUGUGGGGUUUCUGCUGCACCUGCUGAUAUAAGUUACUCCAUGGAAUCAAGAUGGGGAGAUAUCAAAAUAUAUAAAACCUAAUCGCAUUGCUACUGCGCUUGACCACAUCACUGCCACAACUAACAAAUUUAAUACUAUGGGUUUUAUAUAGAAACAGGAUAACAUUGUGAAUUUAUGUACUAUGCUACAUAUUAGAUCUCUCAAUUAUGGUUUGAAUACAAUCAUAUACAGGAGUAAUCAGAGACUAAUUAUGAGCUACUGGCAUGCUCAAAACCUAACAAUCAUAGCUAGUGAGCCCUUGGUUAUUUAUACAUAACUAUAUAAAUUCUAACAUGAAUGUUUCACUUAAUAACUUUAAACCAAAAGUUUUCAUUUCAACAACCAAACAUCAAAGAAGAAUGAAUGAUUCAAAGAUGAACUAGAAACCAAUCAAUUUUACAAAGUUUUCAUUUCAACAACCAAACAUCAAAGAAGAAUGAAUGAUUCAAAGAUGAACUAGAAACCAAUCAAUUUUACAUUUGUACCAAAAACACAAAAAUACACUUGUACCAAAAAGAAACAAAAAAAGCAAACACUAAAUUUCAAACACAAAAAUACACUAAUUUUCCCACAAUGUAGUAGCAUUUUGUCUUCCUCAACAUUAACGUUGAUUGAAAUAGUUUUUAAACCCUGGAAAUAGGUUACCAAUUGUACCACUUAUCACUGUCCACAAUUCCUUUGUAAUUUAUGUCACAUGAGCAAAGCUCAUGACAUGGGAUUUAAUAUCAUGUCUUGUACAUGUGAUGAACUUUAUUAAAUUUUUCUGACACACUCCUUGACAUGAAAAGCUCAUUGGAGUUAAGAUCUCAACCAUUCAACUAGUGUCUAUAACUAUUGUUCAUUAAUUUAUCUAAAUGUUUUUAUUCACCUACUAUCUAUAACUAUGUUCAUAAAUUUAUCUAAAUGUUUUUAGCGGCAUAUCCCUCCCAGUUUGAAGUUUGAAUUGGUUUAUUUUGUAGACUUUUAGUGUCUAUUGUCAAGAUUUUUACACCUAGUUCGUCAUUCACUAUGGCAGCCUCGGUGGCACAGUGCAAUAUGUCUGUAACAGGUUGGCCCUUGAUUGAUCAGGCUACAAUUUUUUUUAUAACUAUGUUCAUAUGCACUUGUUAGUUUAUAUUUUU